GCGGGGGUGGCAGAGCUUGGUCAAAUGCGCAGGCUUGAGGAGUCUGUUCCCUAGGGAUGCCAGGGUUCAAAUCCCUGCCCCCGCA
Molecule: transfer RNA, 85 nt
Filed under: Candidatus Micrarchaeota archaeon CG1_02_55_22
Lineage: Archaea; Nanobdellati; Microcaldota
Description: tRNA-Leu
Rfam family: tRNA
About the family: Transfer RNA (tRNA) molecules are approximately 80 nucleotides in length. Their secondary structure includes four short double-helical elements and three loops (D, anti-codon, and T loops). Further hydrogen bonds mediate the characteristic L-shaped molecular structure. tRNAs have two regions of fundamental functional importance: the anti-codon, which is responsible for specific mRNA codon recognition, and the 3' end, to which the tRNAs corresponding amino acid is attached (by aminoacyl-tRNA synthetases). tRNAs cope with the degeneracy of the genetic code in two manners: having more than one tRNA (with a specific anti-codon) for a particular amino acid; and 'wobble' base-pairing, i.e. permitting non-standard base-pairing at the 3rd anti-codon position.
Source: RNAcentral